RNAcentral lists this ribosomal RNA (252 nucleotides) under uncultured bacterium. RNAcentral's name for it is "partial 16S ribosomal RNA". It matches the Rfam family "Bacterial small subunit ribosomal RNA", at positions 524 to 776 of the family's 1533-position model. The record is from RNAcentral.
UACGUAGGUCCCGAGCGUUGUCCGGAUUUAUUGGGCGUAAAGGGAGCGCAGGUGGUUUAUUAAGUCUGGUGUAAAAGGCAGUGGCUCAACCAUUGUAUGCAUUGGAAACUGGUAGACUUGAGUGCAGGAGAGGAGAGUGGAAUUCCAUGUGUAGCGGUGAAAUGCGUAGAUAUAUGGAGGAACACCGGUGGCGAAAGCGGCUCUCUGGCCUGUAACUGACACUGAGGCUCGAAAGCGUGGGGAGCAAACAGG